This 399-nucleotide ribosomal RNA is filed under the name uncultured bacterium. RNAcentral describes it as "bacterial SSU rRNA". It matches the Rfam family "Bacterial small subunit ribosomal RNA", at positions 28 to 426 of the family's 1533-position model. The record is from RNAcentral.
GAUGAACGCUGGCGGCGUGCUUAACACAUGCAAGUCGAACGAUGAAAGCGGGAGCUUGCUCCUGCUGGAUUAGUGGCGAACGGGUGAGUAACACGUGAGUAACCUGCCCUUGACUCUGGGAUAAGCGUUGGAAACGACGUCUAAUACCGGAUACGACCUUCGGAGGCAUCUCCUGGGGUGGAAAGAAUUCGGUCAAGGAUGGACUCGCGGCCUAUCAGCUAGUUGGUGAGGUAAUGGCUCACCAAGGCGACGACGGGUAGCCGGCCUGAGAGGGUGACCGGCCACACUGGGACUGAGACACGGCCCAGACUCCUACGGGAGGCAGCAGUGGGGAAUAUUGCACAAUGGGCGCAAGCCUGAUGCAGCAACGCCGCGUGAGGGACGACGGCCUUCGGUUGU